This is a long non-coding RNA of Pan troglodytes (chimpanzee), 503 nucleotides long. RefSeq lists it as uncharacterized. The transcript has 4 exons. The record is from RefSeq and is a predicted model, not a curated record. NCBI's taxonomy places the organism in Eukaryota, Metazoa, Chordata, Mammalia, Primates, Hominidae.
AGCGCCGACUGCGCAGUUGCAGAAGCCAGGGCCAGCUGGAGCCCAGCUGUUUGCUCCGCUAGAGAGAUGAGGUUGUCUAUGGACUUCCAGCGGCUUCUGCUAUCAUAAGUAAUUUCUGAAAAUGGAGUCUCUGGCAUCCAGGCUGGAGUGCAAUGUCGCAGUCUUGGCUCACUGCCACCUCUACUUCCCAGGUUCAAGCUAUCUUCCUGCCUCACCCUCCCAAGUAGCUGGGAUUACAGGUGCUGGGGAUACAGAGGUGAACACAACAGACAGGCGGGAUCUAUGUUAUUACAGAGCUGACAUUUUCAGGAUGUACAAACAAGCACAGAAAACACUUGUGAGCCCGAGCUGAGAACCCAAAAGGCACGCUUCAGGCCAUCGUAGCCACCAAGCCUGGUCAGAUUCCGUCCACUGUCUCCUUGGUGCUCCGAGACCCAAAUCGCUAACUGGGGCCGAGGGCGGGCGUGACUGCGCAGGCGCGCCUCCCCUGCGAGAUGCCGGAG